UCUUUUGUGGUAUUUUUGGAUCCUUACCAAGGCAGUGAUGACAUAUGCCUUCUCUCAAAGUAUGUAGUAUUUGUGGUAUAAGGCAUAGUGAUAUUGCCUUCUCUCUCAUCCUACUCUAAUAAGGCUUUGAUAUCUUGAGCUCAUAGGUGGGAGAUAAAAUAUACAUACUUACAAGACAUUUAUUGCCUAUAAAUCCAUGGAUCCAGAGAAACAAGUCAAUAAGUCAAAUCAAGAUGUGCAUGUGUGGC
RNAcentral lists this long non-coding RNA (248 nucleotides) under Sorghum bicolor (sorghum). RNAcentral's name for it is "long non-coding RNA (SBIC_LNC012876)". Lineage: Eukaryota; Viridiplantae; Streptophyta; Magnoliopsida; Poales; Poaceae. The record is from RNAcentral.